GGAGGGUGCAAGCGUUAAUCGGAAUCACUGGGCGUAAAGCGCACGUAGGCGGCUUGGUAAGUCAGGGGUGAAAUCCCACAGCCCAACUGUGGAACUGCCUUUGAUACUGCCAGGCUUGAGUACCGGAGAGGGUGGCGGAAUUCCAGGUGUAAGGGUGAAAUCCGUAGAUUUCUGGAGGAACACCGGUGGCGAAGGCGGCCACCUGGACGGAAACUGACGCUGAGGUGCGAAAGCGUGGGUAGCNAACCAGGAUUAGAUACCCUGGUAGUCCACGCUNUAAACGAUGGGUGCUGGGUGCUGGGNUGUNUGUCUCGGUGCCGUAGCUAACGCGUUANGCNCCCCGCCUGGGGAGU
This 353-nucleotide ribosomal RNA is filed under the name uncultured bacterium. RNAcentral describes it as "bacterial SSU rRNA". It matches the Rfam family "Bacterial small subunit ribosomal RNA", at positions 527 to 881 of the family's 1533-position model. The record is from RNAcentral.